Long non-coding RNA from Oxyura jamaicensis (ruddy duck), 3911 nucleotides. RefSeq lists it as uncharacterized. The record is from RefSeq and is a predicted model, not a curated record. The transcript has 2 exons. NCBI's taxonomy places the organism in Eukaryota, Metazoa, Chordata, Aves, Anseriformes, Anatidae.
CGGCAUGCCUCCCCAGUGAUGUAAGGCUGAAUAAAGAAAAGCUUGGAAUAAAAGUAAAUAUAAAUGAUUAUUUUUUCUGUCUCAUCUCUGAAGCCUUUUUCCAUGUCCAGUCUAGAUUAGUUUUGCAGUUUUAGAUCAUGCAUUCCCUCCAUCGUGCAAUUUAAUACAUUUAAUCUGUGGAAGAUGUUGAUGUCCAAGCAACAAAUAGGCAUAUCCUUGAUGUAAAGGCCAGCUCUCUUCUGAAACCUCUUCCUGACUCCUGUGAUGUUCUGCAGAGCGGUGGGACCGGGGAGAGCUGCAGCGCCGGGAGGUCGCACGCACCGCGACUGCUCGGUGACAGGCGUAACGGAUCGUGACUCAGCUGGGGAAAAUACAGCUAAAUAGGCUGUGGCUCAAAAUAGUUGACUGUGACAGAGAAAUCCAUGCAAAGCUAAUUGAGAAUAUGAUGCUAUGCCCACAAAGCCUGUUAGGCUUAUAUCCAAAUAUAUGAACUGUACCUAAAGCCAGCAGGAUUGUGCUGGUUCUGAAUGGCAUUCGCUCUGCACUGAGUAUUUUGCAGAUGAUAGAAACGAGGAACAAUUUGAAAUCUGCUUGGUAGACUCAGGGAGUGUCAUUCUAGGUCACAGCUUGGCUCAGCACUGUGCACCAUUGCUCCAGCUUCGCUGUAGCCUGGCGUUAACAUUUCAGUCUUCAGAAGAAUGGAAGCCGUAGAGGAUUGGAUUUAAGAAUGUAUUUUUUUUCCCCAUUCAUUGUCGUGAUUUGAAAGUUGAGAGACAGGUGGAAUGAUGGCAGGUGUUGGUUUGUUUAGGGGAGGGUUCUUCUUAGUUCAGUUUUGUUUUUUUUUUUUUUUUUGUGGCCAAGAAUCCUUUCUGUUGCUCUUCUCUAAUGCUUGGCUCAGAGAACACGGGAUGGAAAGAAAUUGCAUUUGGUCAACAAAAAUAGGAAAGUGUUCUAGGAGACUUGCAGUGGAGUGACAUUACCUUGUGAUGUAAACAGUUCGUGUGAAACAGCUCUCAACUAUAGAAAGUGGUUCUGUGCCAAGAAGUGCCUGCAACAUUCAAACACGCCCUCCGGCCCAGUUACACGCAGUUCUGAUUGCAAAGUAGCUUUAUUUGGAUAACUCCACUGCAGCUGAAAAGGAUUUGGGUCACAGGAGAAACGAGGUGCUGUUAGGAAAUGGCUGAGACAGCAGGCAGCAAAAGCAGGGGGAUGGACAGCGUUAUUUUUCAAGAAAAGCUUUCUAGGUUGUCAGUUGCUCUGCGCUGUUAGGUGAGAGCUCUUUAGCAAGACUUUAUCAUCUUUGUUGUUUUUUUUUUUUUUUGCUGCCCUUUCUCAGAAGGUGGAAAUGGGAUGUGCUUUGUCUACAGAUGCAGUUCCACAGCCCGUGGGCUCCUGACAAUGGAGAUUUCCCUGUGAAAAUACUCGUGUAACCCUGUGCCGCAAACAGAGGUGAAACCAGGAAAAUCCAGAAGAGAGAAAAGGGGAAGGAUGGUGGAGAGGGGUGAAGAGAAGUGGAGCUGAAAGCAGAUCACUGUACAGAGAAGGACAAGGCAGAAAAUAGCAGCGUGAGCUCCCAAGCGGUGGGAGGAGGUUGACGCUUUGCUCAUCGAUACAGUCCGAUGUUGAAGUCACAUGGAAAUAGAAAUAAUCUGCUUUGGUGGUGGCAGCUGCCCCUCUGCGUGUACGGCCGUGGCCUGAGCACGCGGCGCUCUGCAGCCCCCGCUCCUGCUGCCUGCCUGCAGCGAGAGGCAUCUGUGUGCUGACACAGCGAUUGUUCGCCUCGGUUAGUUAGGGCCUGCGUGGAACUCUUUGUUUCGCUGAGGCAUUUAAAGCAGGCUGCUUUCUCUCCGUUUAAUCUUGCAGGGGAAAGUGUGUAAAAUGGACAAUAAAAGGUAAUGAUACUAAGUGUCGUCUGGGCACGUUAGGAAGUCAGCGUGACGGGGAGGAAAGGAAACUUGUUUGUCAUGAACGUGCUUUAUCUGAGAAUAAAAGUUACGGGGGGUUUUGCUACUGCUUAAAACCUUAGAUGCAGUACUAGGGGUCUCAGACAAAACCUUUCCUAUGGUCGGCGAGGACAUGCUUUAAGAAAUCCUUUCGGGGUAUGGAUAGGAAUAUUGCGGAACCAGCUUGGGUGGGUUUGGCUUGGAUCUUGGUGACAGUGAAUGUCACAAAACCCAGUAUGGUCACCAGCUCUAAUGUUUUCUGUUUGCCAUUCUCAGGUGGGAAAGUUUAUUUUCACAGCAGAAAUGAAAUUUCCCCUUGCUUGAAAGAGCACCUCUUACGCCAUCCCCCUCUCAUUAGCAAGGACACUGGAACUGCAGUUGGGUGGUAAGGAUAUUUUUUCACCCAGAAGCACAGCAAGACUCAGCAAUUAAUUUCUUAGAGGGCCACAAGACUGUCAUCAGGUAGUCUUAGCCCUUGAUCUUGAUUUCUUUAGCCACCUGUGACAGACAGGCUGAGGUUACGUGCUCUGUUCUGUGUCCUCCACCAAGCUUUGUUUCCAAGUCCUUUAUUCUGCAUGGAGAGAUCUUCCCCACGCCUCGACAAAAAGAGAAGGCCGCGAGCUGCGGUCUCAAGACUGACACAUUUUGGUUUUCAUAGUUGAGCCUUUUGAGCAAAACCCAUAGGAGUAAAAAGAUUUCAAAAACUGUAGGGUUAUAAAUCUGAUCCCUGGGAGCCUCUUGAAUGGGAAGCUUGCGAGGGAGGAGGAGGUUGUGUGGUACCACGGCUCACUCAGCGUCACACAGCUCCAUCUCAGAGGUGUUCAGAAGGGCUCGGACUUGCCAAGUAGAUGCUGAUCUGCCCUCUUUCAAUAACAAGUCCAGCAUUUCAGCACGCAUAAAGGUUUUUAAGGUCCUUAGGUGCCUAAAGGCAUGGCUGCUCCUGAAAACCAGAUUUUGAAGGUUAAAAAUUUGCUUGGGUAAAUAAGUGCGUGCAAGGUGAAGCUGUCUCUCAGUGCUGGACUGGGACCUGGCGAGUGGGAGGGAAGAAGGACCCUAAACGGGGUUGGGUCAGGUACUCAGGAGCUUGUGGUGCAGGAUGAUACAGCACAAGCCAUUCCUCCUGCUGUCUUGUGCCACUGAGCCAGCGCUUCAGGGCUAGCAUUUUGCUACAGAGUCGGUCAGCAGCAAACUGUGAGCUGCUGCUACCCCACACCUUGCUGAGAGCAAAGCAUGAAGUCCUGGAGUGAGAAAACAGAUUGUUGCUCUCGUCUUCACAUUUCUGUGCACAGAAAGCACCUUGGGCAGGGAACAUCAGGCCACAGCCUGGCUUACAGUGCUGUAGGAUGGGGCUCUCUGUUUUUAAAUGGAACUAGAGGAGAAAAGCUGAUGAGGCUUAGAUCAACUGGAGCGAAAGCAACUUUUUAUUAUGAUAGCCUGUAAUCACAACAGGGCUGCUUCACAGUAAGUCUAAUCUGGAUCGAUUGGGGUGGUGACAUCCAUCUCGUGGUUCACUUCAACAUCAAUCUGGCCCCUGCCUGUCACAGUAAUUGUCUCUUAUCACUCUUGGAGAUGGUGUUUCCCGGGAGCAAACUCCUGUUACUUUUCAUUACCAAGGUUGGGAAACAAGGCUCAGCAACAGGGAGUGGCACUGUCUUCACCAAUUUUUAUUUUUCUUUUAUUUGGAUCCAAACAAAGUCUUGUCAGUAAGUAGUACUAGCCAGCCUGCUACCCUCUGCAACACUUGUCACUACAGCAUCUGUGGCUUUCCAGCAAAGCACGAGACAACAUUAACAGACAGCUGUCACAGUCUGGUCCGAGCUGACCUGUGCCUUGUUCUGGCUGUUGGCUCUGCCUGACAUCCUUAUAAUAGCUGCAUUAUAACAGCGUGCUCCAAAACAAAACAAGCACCUACUUUCCCCAGUGGUUAGAAUUCUGAUUUGUGAUUCUAAAUUUAUUCUUUAUUUCCUU